RNAcentral lists this ribosomal RNA (1372 nucleotides) under metagenome. RNAcentral's name for it is "SSU rRNA". It matches the Rfam family "Eukaryotic small subunit ribosomal RNA", at positions 372 to 1801 of the family's 1831-position model. The record is from RNAcentral.
AGGGUUCGAUUUCGGAGAGGGAGCAUGAGAAACGGCUACCACAUCUAAGGAAGGCAGCAGGCGCGUAAAUUACCCAAUCCUGACUCAGGGAGGUAGUGACAAGAAAUAGCAAACCGGGAACCUCAUGGCUUCACGGUAUUGCAAUGAGAACAAUUUAAAACCCUUAGCGAGAAUCAAGUGGAGGACAAGUCUGGUGCCAGCACCCGCGGUAAUUCCAGCUCCACUAGCGUAUAUUAAAGUUGUUGCAGUUAAAAAGCUCGUAGUUGAACCUCUGUCUGGGGCUAGUUUUGGCUUUGGUCAGGCUAGUUCUAGGCAUCCGCCUACAAGACUUAGAGGGCAUUCAGUUGUUCACUAGGAGGAGUAGGCAUUUUACUUUGAAAAAAUUAGAGUGUUUAAGGCAGGCAAUCGCCCGCAUAUAUUAGCAUGGAAUAAUAGAAUAGGACACUUUUCCAUUUCGUUGGUUAUUGGAAUCGUGUAAUGAUUAAUAGGGACAGUUGUGGGCAUUUGUAUUUAAUUGUCAGAGGUGAAAUUCUUGGAUUUAUUAAAGACAAACUAACGCGAAAGCAUUUGCCAAGGAUGUUUUCAUUAAUCAAGAACGAAAGUUAGGGGAUCAAAGACGAUCAGAUACCGUCCUAGUCUUAACUAUAAACUAUUCCGACUCAAUGUUUGACUGGCUUAUAUAACCAGUUGAGCGUUGUAUGAGAAAUCAAAGUCUUUAGGUUCUGGGGGGAGUAUGGUUGCAAAGCUGAAACUUAAAGGAAUUGACGGAAGAGCACAACCAGGAGUGGAUUCUGCGGCUUAAUUUGACUCAACACGGGGAAACUUACCAGGUUAAAACAAUAGUGGGAUUGACAGUUUGAGAGCGCUUUCUUGAUUGGUUGGGUGGUGGUGCAUGGCCGUUCUUAGUUGGUGGAGUGAUUUGUCUGCUUAAUUGCGUUAACGAACGAGACCUUAACCUGCUUACUAGACUGGCGAUCAUCAAUCGUUAGCUCUUCUUAGAGGGACUUUGGUUGUUUUAACUCCAAGGAAGUUUGAGGCAAUAACAGGUCUGUGAUGCCCUUAGAUAUCCUGGGCCGCACGCGUCAUACAAUGACUAGUUCAGAAAGUUUUCUCCUGACCCGAAAGGGGAUGGGUAAUCUUGAUAAUACUAGUCGUGUUAGGGAUCGAUCUUUGCAAUUAUAGAUCUUGAACGAGGAAUUCCUAGUAAGUGCGGUUCAUCAGACCGUACUGAUUACGUCCCUGCUCUUUGUACACACCGCCCGUCGCUUCUACCGAGUGGGUGGUCCGGUGAGAUAAUUGAACUUCGCAGGUAACUGAGAGGAAAGAUUAUCAAACCUAUCCACCUCGAGGAAGAAGAAGUCGUAACAAGGUU